CCUACGGGUGGCAGCAGUAGGGAAUCUUUCACAAUGGGCGAAAGCCUGAUGGAGCAACGCCGCGUGCAGGAUGAAGGCCUUCGGGUUGUAAACUUCUUUUAUCAGCGAGAAAUAUGAUGGUACCUUAUGAAUAAGGCUCGGCUAACUACGUGCCAGCCGCCGCGGUCAUACGUAGGAUCCGAGCAUUAUCCGGAGUGACUGGGUGUAAAGAGUUGCGUAGGUGGCAUAGUAAGUAGCUAGUGAAAUCUGGUGGCUUAACCAUUCAGACUAUUAGCUAAACUGCUACGCUCGAGAGCGUUAGGGGUAACUGGAAUUUCUAGUGUAGGAGUGAAAUCCGUAGAUAUUAGAAGGAACACCGAUAGCGUAGGCAGGUUACUGGGACGGGUCUGACACUAAGGCACGAAAGCGUAGGGAGCAAACGGGAUUAGAUACCCCUGUAGUC
This 442-nucleotide ribosomal RNA is filed under the name uncultured bacterium. Its description in RNAcentral is "partial 16S ribosomal RNA". It matches the Rfam family "Bacterial small subunit ribosomal RNA", at positions 338 to 795 of the family's 1533-position model. The record is from RNAcentral.